UGUAUUUUCCACUUCGUAAUAUCAAUAUUUGGAAAUAGGGAAUCUGGAACACAUUGAUAUGGCCAUCUUUGUCUAACUCGUGGGUGGAAUGAUCGAGUUGUAGAGCAUGGCAGAUUAUUGGAAAUCCCAACCACGCAAGUUCUGUGAAUUUUGUCAGUGUUGGUUUGGAGAUAAUAAAGCUGUGAG
RNAcentral lists this long non-coding RNA (186 nucleotides) under Limulus polyphemus (Atlantic horseshoe crab). RNAcentral's name for it is "uncharacterized LOC111087644, transcript variant X3". The record is from RNAcentral. Lineage: Eukaryota; Metazoa; Arthropoda; Merostomata; Xiphosura; Limulidae.